GAUUCUAGUGACCACCACAAACCCUGAGAGAUUCUCAACUCUUAACGCACCAGAAACUACACAACAACAAGCUAAAACAACACAAAGCUUAGAGAAGAGUUCAAGCUCUUCACCAUCACCACAUUAUAAAGCACAUGUGACCAGCUCUCAUACAGUGACUAUUGCUGUGAUCGCUCCUUUACUUCUUCUACUUACUGUUGCUGUUCUUUGUGUGAUUUAUAGAAAAAGAAAAGGUGAGUUUACAACAUCAGUUUUAUGUUAUUUGAAUAUGAUUUCAAGAGGCCUU
Triplophysa dalaica is the source of this 286-nucleotide long non-coding RNA. RefSeq lists it as uncharacterized. NCBI's taxonomy places the organism in Eukaryota, Metazoa, Chordata, Actinopteri, Cypriniformes, Nemacheilidae. The record is from RefSeq and is a predicted model, not a curated record. The transcript is spliced from 3 exons.